CUCAGUUAAAUUAACACUUCACCCUCUUCCUCCCUCCAUGUACCGACUGUUGGGCAUGGAGUUUGCAAUGGCCCUGGCUGCCUGGACCCACCCUCCUCCAUGCACGCCACGAAGGUCCAACAGUGAUCCCUUCUGCUGCCUGUAUACUUGAGUCUUCCAGGACCUUGGAGAGCUGCCCUAAAACUAUAGGCUGAUGAGAUCAACACCUUUUAGGCGUCCCUGGAAGAGUAUUCCAGAGCCCUCAGAAGGUCAGCCUCCAAGCAGAUCCUUUCCCAUCCACCACGGCUCUCCCCUUCCCCACCCCUGCCUCCUCUAUGAACCUGGAGCCCUGAUUGGCUAAACAGCAGAGGCUCCUGUGAGGCCCAGAAGUGCAGAGGCCAUUUGUCCGGCUGCAUGGGGCUGACUCCGAGAGACGCGCUUGUCAGGCAAGAUCAAUAAAGCUCUGAAUGGAUUGAUA
This is a long non-coding RNA of Suricata suricatta (meerkat), 457 nucleotides long. RefSeq lists it as uncharacterized. The transcript has 2 exons. The record is from RefSeq and is a predicted model, not a curated record. NCBI's taxonomy places the organism in Eukaryota, Metazoa, Chordata, Mammalia, Carnivora, Herpestidae.